UGCCAUGUUCCUGAACACACUGACUUCCAUCAGCUCUCAGGAAGCAGCAGUGUGGGACAGAGCUUACAGGGCUGCCAGGCAGUGACUGCCAGCGACACCACCUCACACUGCACUCCUUUAGUGCUGUCAGUCACUGUGAAGCCAGGGAUGUGCACUGUAGUCCCAGGAAUUGCCAUUAAUUGUGGUCACUCAUGCAGGCUGGGGGGCUGCUGGGGAAUCUGAGUUAUUAUGGAAAAGGCAAGGCUCAGCAGGAAACUGGGGAGCAAGUGUAAGUCCUGCGGAUGAAUGCGUCCAGCCAGAAUCUGGAGCAAAGGACACAGGAAGGACAAACAAACUCAAAGUACAACAGGGGCCAUGCAGCGUGGGAUGGGCGGAGCGGGGAGCAGAGCUGGCUCUCGGCAGCAUGGACGCACCGGCAAUCUUCACGGAGGCGGAUUUUUACCAGCAGAAUUUCGACCCUCAGGCAUAUCUGAAAGAAUAUUACAGCAUGAGUGACAGCCGGGAAGGGGCAAAUGUGUUUCUGACGCAAAACUUGAAGAGCCUGCACAAAAUGUUCUCCUUAGACGAGCUGAGAGGUGGCACCCUGAUAGAUGUCGGCUGUGGCCCCACCAUCUACCAGCUUCUGUCUGCUUGUGAGCGCUUCCAGGAGAUUAUUGCCCUGGACUACACCGACCAGAACCGCCGGGAGCUGGAGCGGUGGCUGAGGAACGAAGCAGGAGCCUUUGACUGGGUGCCGGUGGUGAAAUACGUCUGUGAGCUGGAAGGGGACAGGGAGAAGUGGGCUGAGAAACAGGAGAAAGUGAGGAAGAAGGUGAAGCAGGUUCUGAAGUGUGACGUGACCAGAGCCAACCCCACGGGCGCUGUGUCCCUGCCACCAGCCGACUGCAUCGUCUCCACCCUGUGCCUGGAGGGCGCCUGCAAGGACCUGCCCACCUUCCGCAGCGCCCUGAGGAACAUCGGGACCCUCGUGAAGCCGGGGGGGCACCUGGUGCUGGUGACCGUCCUCGGGGAAACCUACUACGCCUUCAACAAGCAGGUUUUCUCGUGCCUCCGCCUGGAGAAAGACGAGGUGGAGGCGGCUGUGGAGGCUGCUGGCUUUGAGGUGACGUUCAGCGAGGCGCAGCCGUACACGGCCUGAGCCCGGCAGGACCUGCACGUGGAACGAGCCCUGAUGGCACACGAGCCUCACACGCUCCCAGCCGAGCCCGAGGGGAGCCGGGGAGGGGAAGGAAGGCACGGCAAGGCAAACGAGGCUCCAGGGAAAUUAAGGCAAAGUGGAAGUCCUGGCAAAGCGAGGUGCGGUGGCGAGUAAUGGGGUGGAGAGAAUGAACGGCACCCAAUUAACAGGGAAAGCAGAGCUGUGCUGGGACCUAAUGAGAAAUGAAGGCUCAACUGCCCCCUCUCGAAAUUCCUCCAGAUGGAAAACGCCCGUUUUACAUCCCGCAUCUUCUGGGAUUCCCAGGGGAUUACAGUGGCUGGGGAGAUUCAACAGCAGGGGCAGGGGAGCCGCCCGUUUGGGGGUUUUUAACCUGCGCCCCGGGUUUUAACCGGCUGGCUCCGACCCCCUCGGUUUCCCAACAGGAAUAACAGGGAAAGGGGGAACGCCCGGCACCAGCCGCGCGGUGUCACCGCCUGGACGCAGGUGCUGUCACGACACCGGGACACGCAACACAUCCACGAUUCCCUCGCGACAAACGGGGUUUAUUGCCGGUUGUUAGUUGAUUACAGGUUAUCAGUUAAUUCCCGAGGCCCGGGAGGGCGCGGGGCAGCGGGGCGGGACUCCGCACAUCCCGUGUCCCCCGGGGAGGAGCGGGGCCGUCCCGCCGGGAUUCCGCCCCCGAGGCCGCGGCCCCGUUCCCGUCCCCUUUCCAAAUUCCCAUUCCCUUUCCCAAUUCCCAUUCCCGUUCCCUUUCCCAAUUCCCAUUCCCGUUCCCUUUCCAAAUUCCCAUUCCCUUUCCCAAUUCCCAUUCCCGUUCCCUUUCCCAAUUCCCAUUCCCGU
Molecule: RNA transcript, 1999 nt
Organism: Pseudopipra pipra
Lineage: Eukaryota; Metazoa; Chordata; Aves; Passeriformes; Pipridae
Gene: NNMT
Gene name: nicotinamide N-methyltransferase
Exons: 5
Source: RefSeq, a predicted model, not a curated record